GACAGAGGAAUACCCAGCAGGGGCAUGCGAGAUCUUAAGUCCCCAGACCAGUUCCCCAACUGGUCCCACACCACGCCCCUAGCAGUGGAAGUGCUGGGAGCGUGGAGUCUUCACCACUGGACCACCAGGGAAGUCCAACAAACACCUGAACCUACUCCAGGAAAAGCGCAGUGCUAAUACUGAAUCAUCAGGAUCCUAAAAGGAGCUUGACUGAAUGACAGGGCACCUUCUCUGUAAGACAAGAGAAAGGUCACAAAAUAGAUCAACAAGCUGUGGUUCGUAUCUUAAAACUGGAGAAGAGGGAAGACAGCGUUAA
Long non-coding RNA from Capra hircus (goat), 316 nucleotides. RefSeq lists it as uncharacterized. The transcript is spliced from 3 exons. The record is from RefSeq and is a predicted model, not a curated record. Lineage: Eukaryota; Metazoa; Chordata; Mammalia; Artiodactyla; Bovidae.